Molecule: long non-coding RNA, 934 nt
Filed under: Astyanax mexicanus (Mexican tetra)
Lineage: Eukaryota; Metazoa; Chordata; Actinopteri; Characiformes; Acestrorhamphidae
Description: lncRNA (ENSAMXG00005006165.1)
Source: RNAcentral
CCCACCUAAAAGGUACAUCCUAUGCUCACUUCCAGAGGAGAUGAGGAGGCUUGAGGAGAAACUGGAUGACCGGGAGAGGCAGAGAGAGCGAGAGCGUGAGAGAGACCGAGAGGGAGAGAAGGACCCCGGGGUAGAGAGGCGGCUAGAGCAAUGGAAGAGAGAAGUUGGACGAGAAUUGAGCAGCCUCAGAGGCCACAUUGACAGGACAACGUCGCUAGGCAACCAGGAGGAAAGUUUUAGCUCUAAGCUGCGCAGGGAAGAAGUGGAACAGCUUAGAAGAGAAGUGGAUCUGCUUAAAAACAAGCUGAUGAGGCAAGAGGAGGAUAUGUACCAACAGCAGUCGGAGUCGAGAGAAACAAGGAGGCAGUAUGAACGCAGCUGCAAGACAUUGGAGAACCUUACAGAUUCUUACCGCACACACAGUUUUGAACUGGCCAGGAUGGUCUCCCAGUAUCAGCACACACAGCAAGAAGUACGAGAACUCAGGCUCACAGUAUCUGAACUGAAGGAUGAAGUGAGAGGCCUGAUUCUGAGAGACAGACUUUCCACACCUGCAGAAGUGCUGUGCAAACCAGCCCCUUCAGCAUCAGCAGUUGCUGUGGAGACGAGUCCCCCGAGACGAGUGCUGUCAGAUUCGGAAGACGACUUUAGCCCCACCCCUAGUCUUGGGGAGGUUAGCUCAGAUGAUCUGGAUGGGUCCUGGCUUGGAGAAUCAGCUCCCAAACUAAGAAGCGGAAGUGGAAGAGGUGCACGCUUUAGCCUCUCAGGAAGUGACCUCAGUGACGCUGGCAGUGGACUUGGAAGUGGACUUGAGAGCAACCAUGAUGACACAGGUGGUGAGGUGGGAGGAGGAUUAGACAGUCCUCCAGACCUCAGUCUCAGUGACCUCUGACAUGAGAAACGGAAAUAAAGCCAUGAGUUUACAGCUGAUGCA